GUCUAUGAUCAUGCAACCCUGAACAAGCCCAAUCCCGUCUGAUCUCGGAAGUUAAGCGAGUUUGGGCCUGGUUAGUAAUUGGAUGGGAGACCACCUAGGAAGACCAGGUACUGUAGGGG
Pteropus vampyrus (large flying fox) is the source of this 119-nucleotide ribosomal RNA. The record is from Ensembl. Lineage: Eukaryota; Metazoa; Chordata; Mammalia; Chiroptera; Pteropodidae.